This 428-nucleotide RNase P RNA is filed under the name Bacillota bacterium. RNAcentral's name for it is "Firmicutes bacterium (anaerobic digester metagenome) RNase P RNA component class A". It matches the Rfam family "Bacterial RNase P class A". From Rfam's summary of the family: Ribonuclease P (RNase P) is a ubiquitous endoribonuclease, found in archaea, bacteria and eukarya as well as chloroplasts and mitochondria. Its best characterised activity is the generation of mature 5'-ends of tRNAs by cleaving the 5'-leader elements of precursor-tRNAs. The record is from RNAcentral. Lineage: Bacteria; Bacillati; Bacillota.
CAAGUAGGCUGGGUAAUCGCGGGUGAGCCACUGAGUGGCGAGCCUGAGGAAAGUCCGAGCUCCACAGGACAGGGUGCUGGGUAACGCCCAGCGAGGGUGACCUCAGGGAAAGUGCAACAGAAAUCAUACCGCCCUAGUCGCAAGGCUAGUGGUAAGGCUGAAACGGUGCGGUAAGAGCGCACCAGCAGCUAGGUGACUAGCUGGCUAGGUAAACCCCACCUGGAGCAAGACCCGAUAGGGGAAGGUUGAGGUGGUCCGCUGACUUCCCGGGUGUGGUCGCAUGAGGUGUCAGGCAACUGGCGCCCUAGAUAGAUGAUUACCGCUCCUCUCCUAUGACGGCAACUGAGACCGAUGCCCUUGGGUAUGGGUUAAUGUGACGCCCGAUAUGAGAGGAGAUACAGAACUCGGCUUACAGGCCUACUUGCAGA